UCCUGUGUUGCUUGCCUAACGUGAUGGAAAGUGUCCCCAGAUGAAGUCCUGAUUUUCGCCUCUCACCAAUUCGUGGUGUUAGGUUGAUGUGGAAGUACUGCCCAUUCUCCUUGAAUGCUUUGCCCUUUUGUGUUGCAAUCACGGCCCAUGGGUUGCUACUAGUUCCCUCGGAUGCAGAACUUUUGAAGGGUGGGCAGCAUGUUGCUGUAGUUCACCUACAACGCGUUCAUCGCUUGAUGCGUACGACAGUUGUGCCCGUUUUGGUCCCCUCCUUAACUAGUUUGGAUGGGGCUCAUGCGGUGCCGGUGUCGCGAAGGAAUGCUACCUGGUUGAUCCUGCCAGUAGUCAUAUGCUUGUCUCAA
This 362-nucleotide unclassified non-coding RNA is filed under the name Pouteria oblanceolata. Its description in RNAcentral is "partial contains external transcribed spacer and 18S ribosomal RNA". The record is from RNAcentral. Lineage: Eukaryota; Viridiplantae; Streptophyta; Magnoliopsida; Ericales; Sapotaceae.